AUCUUCUUCUAUAUCAAUCUCAUUAUAACUAUAAUCAUUUUUAUCUAUGACUGUGACUAUUCUUUCAAAAGGAUCUUCUAUUUUUAUUUUUUUUAUUUUAUUUUUUGCUGUUAUUUUAUGUUUUGUUGUUAAAACAUAUAAGUUUUUACAUCUAGCUGUAAAUAUUUUACUUCCCGGGGCUAGUUCUAUUCCUGACAUUUUCCAA
This 205-nucleotide long non-coding RNA is filed under the name Solanum tuberosum (potato). RNAcentral's name for it is "long non-coding RNA (STUB_LNC009032)". The record is from RNAcentral. Lineage: Eukaryota; Viridiplantae; Streptophyta; Magnoliopsida; Solanales; Solanaceae.